Molecule: ribosomal RNA, 477 nt
Filed under: uncultured Acaulospora
Lineage: Eukaryota; Fungi; Glomeromycota; Glomeromycetes; Diversisporales; Acaulosporaceae
Description: SSU rRNA
Rfam family: Eukaryotic small subunit ribosomal RNA
Source: RNAcentral
AGCAGCCGCGGUAAUUCCAGCUCCAAUAGCGUAUAUUAAAGUUGUUGCAGUUAAAAAGCUCGUAGUUGAAUUUCGGGGUUCAUCCGUUGGUCGGGCUUUUUGGUCUGUACUGGCGUGAUGGAUUCCUACCUUCUGAAUAACCAGCAUGUCAUUAAUUUGGUGCGCUGGGGAAGCAGGACUGUUACCUUGAAAAAUUAGAGUGCUUAAAGCAGGCUAUCGCCUGAAUACAUUAGCAUGGAAUAAUGAAAUAGGACGGCAUGGUUCUAUUUUGUUGGUUUCUAGGAUCACCGUAAUGAUUAAUAGGGAUAGUUGGGGGCAUUAGUAUUCAAUUGUCAGAGGUGAAAUUCUUGGAUUUAUUGAAGACUAACUUCUGCGAAAGCAUUUGCCAAGGAUGUUUUCAUUAAUCAAGAACGAAAGUUAGGGGAUCGAAGACGAUCAGAUACCGUCGUAGUCUUAACCAUAAACUAUGCCGACUAG